RNAcentral lists this ribosomal RNA (476 nucleotides) under uncultured bacterium. Its description in RNAcentral is "bacterial SSU rRNA". It matches the Rfam family "Bacterial small subunit ribosomal RNA", at positions 30 to 490 of the family's 1533-position model. The record is from RNAcentral.
AUUGAACGCUGGCGGCAGGCCUAACACAUGCAAGUCGAGCGGCAGCGGGAAAGUAGCUUGCUACUUUUGCCGGCGAGCGGCGGACGGGUGAGUAAUGCCUGGGAAAUUGCCCAGUCGAGGGGGAUAACAGUUGGAAACGACUGCUAAUACCGCAUGCGCCCUACGGGGGAAAGCAGGGGGACCUUCGGGCCUUGCGCGAUUGGAUAUGCCCAGGUGGGAUUAGCUAGUUGGUGAGGUAAUGGCUCACCAAGGCGACGAUCCCUAGCUGGUCUGAGAGGAUGAUCAGCCACACUGGAACUGAGACACGGUCCAGACUCCUACGGGAGGCAGCAGUGGGGAAUAUUGCACAAUGGGGGAAACCCUGAUGCAGCCAUGCCGCGUGUGUGAAGAAGGCCUGGUGUAAGACACUUUCUAGCGAGGAGGAAAGGUACGAGUAGCUAAUAAUCUGCUGGCUGUGACGUUACUCGCAGAAGAAG